Molecule: ribosomal RNA, 241 nt
Filed under: Pelobates cultripes (western spadefoot toad)
Lineage: Eukaryota; Metazoa; Chordata; Amphibia; Anura; Pelobatidae
Description: SSU_rRNA_microsporidia
Rfam family: Eukaryotic small subunit ribosomal RNA
Source: RNAcentral
UCACCCAGCUCGUCAUGCUAGAGCACUUUUUCAAUGUGCUCCCCAACGAGAAGGCGAAGACGCAGUCGUAUGUCAAUCCAUAUCAACUUUCGAUGCCAUUGACUGUGCCUACCAUGGUGACCACGUGUAACGGGGAGUCAGGGUUCGAUUCCAUACAGGAACCCUGACAAACGGCUACCACAUGCAAGGAAGGCAGCAGGCGCGCAAAUGACCCACUCCCGACGCGGGAAGGUAGAGAUGA